UUCUCUAUUUCUUACUACAAAGGCAUGGUACUGUAAAUCUGAUAGAGAUUGUUUUGGAUUUUUUUCUCAUACUGGAAGGCGAGAAACUCACGAUGAAGUAUGUGUGCAUGGCAAAUGUGUUUUAUUUCCCAUAAUAUUGUCUCAGUUUUUUGUAGCAAUUUAAUUCACAUUUCUCUUGAAUGGAAAGUGAGACUCCAUGCGAUCAAAUAGUGUAACC
RNAcentral lists this long non-coding RNA (217 nucleotides) under Trifolium pratense (red clover). RNAcentral's name for it is "long non-coding RNA (TPRA_LNC003676)". The record is from RNAcentral. Lineage: Eukaryota; Viridiplantae; Streptophyta; Magnoliopsida; Fabales; Fabaceae.